This 378-nucleotide unclassified non-coding RNA is filed under the name plant metagenome. Its description in RNAcentral is "partial contains 5.8S ribosomal RNA, internal transcribed spacer 2, and large subunit ribosomal RNA". The stretch from base 1 to 105 matches the Rfam family "5.8S ribosomal RNA", at positions 50 to 154 of the family's 154-position model. The record is from RNAcentral.
GAAAUGCGAUAAGUAAUGUGAAUUGCAGAAUUCAGUGAAUCAUCGAAUCUUUGAACGCACCUUGCGCUCCUUGGUAUUCCUUGGAGCAUGCCUGUUUGAGUAUCAUGAAAUCUUCAAAGUAAAUCUUUUGUUAACUCAAUUGGUUUCUACUUUGGUAUUGGAGGUCUUUGCAGCUUCACACCUGCUCCUCUUUGUUCAUUAGCUGGAUCUCAGUGUUAUGCUUGGUUCCACUCGGCGUGAUAAGUUAUCUAUCGCUGAGGACACUGUAAAAGGUGGCCAAGGUAAAUGCAGAUGAACCGCUUCUAAUAGUCCAUUGGCUUGGACAAUACUUUUAUGAUCUGAUCUCAAAUCAGGUAGGACUACCCACUGAACUUAAGC